This 468-nucleotide ribosomal RNA is filed under the name uncultured bacterium. RNAcentral describes it as "partial 16S ribosomal RNA". It matches the Rfam family "Bacterial small subunit ribosomal RNA", at positions 28 to 507 of the family's 1533-position model. The record is from RNAcentral.
GACGAACGCUGGCGGCGUGCUUAACACAUGCAAGUCGAACGGAAAGGCCCUGCUUUUGUGGGGUGCUCGAGUGGCGUACGGGUGAGUAACACGUGAGUAACCUGCCCUUGACUUUGGGAUAACUUCAGGAAACUGGGGCUAAUACCGGAUAGGAGCUCCUGCUGCAUGGUGGGGGUUGGAAAGUUUCGGCGGUUGGGGAUGGACUCGCGGCUUAUCAGCUUGUUGGUGGGGUAGUGGCUUACCAAGGCUUUGACGGGUAGCCGUCCUGAGAGGGUGACCGGCCACAUUGGGACUGAGAUACGGCCCAGACUCCUACGGGAGGCAGCAGUGGGGAAUAUUGCACAAUGGGCGGAAGCCUGAUGCAGCAACGCCGCGUGCGGGAUGACGGCCUUCGGGUUGUAAACCGCUUUCGCCUGUGACGAAGCGUGAGUGACGGUAAUGGGUAAAGAAGCACCGGCUAACUACGUG